RNAcentral lists this long non-coding RNA (267 nucleotides) under Phaseolus vulgaris (common bean). RNAcentral describes it as "long non-coding RNA (PVUL_LNC004693)". The record is from RNAcentral. Lineage: Eukaryota; Viridiplantae; Streptophyta; Magnoliopsida; Fabales; Fabaceae.
UCAUGUAAAAAUUAGAAAAUCAUAUAUUACAAAACUAACACAUAAUCCAAUAUCAAUCCUUUUUAAGAGAUUUUUAACAUUGAAAAUAUUUUUUUUGUAACUAUUAGAUAUACUAACUCAAAUUAAUUAUAACUCAAAACUAACGAAAUGAAUAUCAACAUUUAAAAUUUAAAGAAUAUAGUAAUAUCGAUUUCACUUAUCAAUACCGAACAAUUCUUCAUUUUAUUUCAACACACUUGUAAGUUAUUUCCUCUAACUUAAAAGAUA